This is a long non-coding RNA of Numida meleagris (helmeted guineafowl), 459 nucleotides long. RefSeq lists it as uncharacterized. Lineage: Eukaryota; Metazoa; Chordata; Aves; Galliformes; Numididae. The transcript has 3 exons. The record is from RefSeq and is a predicted model, not a curated record.
UGGGCCUGGGCCUAGCUGUGAACCUCUCACAGCGAAGUCCUGAAUACGUCACGUAGAAGCUGUGCUGGUCUCCCAAAAACACAGAGAGGAAAGAGAAAAAGUUCUCUUAGAUUCUGGGAUAUCAAAACUAGAUUUUUAUGAGCUGCCUGCUAAGCUAUUGGUUGGUAUUAGGGGGAUUGAUUCAACCAGAGUCUCAUGAGGGUUUUGCUCCAUGGAGGAAAAUCAUCACAGCAAGGAACUACAUUAUCUCUAUGUGACUUGGUGGCAAAACAGCUUCAUCCACUGGAAAUAAGGGGGUGUAAAGAGCGUCAGUCCUUGUCAUUGCAGCUUACGGAGAACCCUGGAAGAGUAACUUUUUCCUCCCUGAAAUGAGCCUGUAUUCUUUGGAGAAGAAUGGGGAAGAAAAGUCUCAAAUAAAUGGAUGUAAUUGCCUUCAUUAAAAGCUGGCUGAACAGACUU